This 518-nucleotide long non-coding RNA is filed under the name Phoenix dactylifera (date palm). Its description in RNAcentral is "long non-coding RNA (PDAC_LNC022687)". Lineage: Eukaryota; Viridiplantae; Streptophyta; Magnoliopsida; Arecales; Arecaceae. The record is from RNAcentral.
CAUGAAAUUGGUUAAUUGUCUUGUCCCAAAGGCCACGCUCUUCCAAGUUCGUUCAUGGUGAUGUAUUCUAAAUUAUGAAAAUCUCUGGAUGUAUAUUUUAGAGGCUCAGACCAAUAUUUUUUAAGUAGAAGAAAAUAGAAAUCUAGAGAUAUGGAUAGAUAGAUAAUUUGUACUUUUUAGAAAAUAGAUUGGACCUUCAGACAGCAUUUUUGUUGUAAUUUAUUUUAUGGUGAAAAUUUUAUACACAAAAUAUAUGGUUCAAGUUGGAAUUUAAGGAAUUCCUAGAUUGAGCCAUUUGAAAGUGGAAAAGAAAAUUAAAUACAUAUUAUUUUUUGUGAUAUUUUCCUAAAUUGAUUUUAUUAUAUAUAAUAUAACCUUGCUUGUAUCCUAUCUGAAUGUACUAAAAUGGUCUAAAGUUUUUCAUCAUAUGAAGCUUUUACAAUUACAUGUGUUUAUGCAUGCUUUCAUUUACAUGCAUAUUUCUCCAUCAGAUAUAAAAAUUUGUGGUAUGCAUAUGC